GAUGAACGCUGGCGGCGUGCCUAAUACAUGCAAGUCGAGCGAACGGACGAGAAGCUUGCUUUUCUGAUGUUAGCGGCGGACGGGUGAGUAACACGUGGAUAACCUACCUAUAAGACUGGGAUAACUUCGGGAAACCGGAGCUAAUACCGGAUAAUAUUUUGAACCGCAUGGUUCAAAAGUGAAAGACGGUCUUGCUGUCACUUAUAGAUGGAUCCGCGCUGUAUUAGCUAGUUGGUAAGGUAACGGCUUACCAAGGCAACGAAGCAUAGCCGACCUGAGAGGGUGAUCGGCCACACUGGAACUGAGACACGGUCCAGACUCCUACGGGAGGCAGCAGUAGGGAAUCUUCCGCAAUGGGCGAAAGCCUGACGGAGCAACGCCGCGUGAGUGAUGAAGGUCUUCGGAUCGUAAAACUCUGUUAUUAGGGAAGAACAUAUGUGUAAGUAACUGUGCACAUCUUGACGGUACCUAAUCAGAAAGCCACGGCUAACUACGUG
This 497-nucleotide ribosomal RNA is filed under the name uncultured bacterium. RNAcentral's name for it is "partial 16S ribosomal RNA". It matches the Rfam family "Bacterial small subunit ribosomal RNA", at positions 28 to 507 of the family's 1533-position model. The record is from RNAcentral.